GAACCUUCGGGGGACGAUAACGGCGUCGAGCGGCGGACGGGUGAGUAAUGCCUAGGAAAUUGCCCUGAUGUGGGGGAUAACCAUUGGAAACGAUGGCUAAUACCGCAUGAUGCCUACGGGCCAAAGAGGGGGACCUUCGGGCCUCUCGCGUCAGGAUAUGCCUAGGUGGGAUUAGCUAGUUGGUGAGGUAAGGGCUCACCAAGGCGACGAUCCCUAGCUGGUCUGAGAGGAUGAUCAGCCACACUGGAACUGAGACACGGUCCAGACUCCUACGGGAGGCAGCAGUGGGGAAUAUUGCACAAUGGGCGCAAGCCUGAUGCAGCCAUGCCGCGUGUGUGAAGAAGGCCUUCGGGUUGUAAAGCACUUUCAGUCGUGAGGAAGGUAGUGUAGUUAAUAGCUGCAUUAUUUGACGUUAGCGACAGAAGAAGCACCGGCUAACUCCGUGCCAGCAGCCGCGGUAAUACGGAGGGUGCGAGCGUUAAUCGGAAUUACUGGGCGUAA
RNAcentral lists this ribosomal RNA (501 nucleotides) under Vibrio parahaemolyticus. RNAcentral describes it as "bacterial SSU rRNA". It matches the Rfam family "Bacterial small subunit ribosomal RNA", at positions 69 to 563 of the family's 1533-position model. Lineage: Bacteria; Pseudomonadati; Pseudomonadota; Gammaproteobacteria; Vibrionales; Vibrionaceae. The record is from RNAcentral.